GCCUGGGGAGUACGGUCGCAAGAUUAAAACUCAAAGGAAUUGACGGGGACCCGCACAAGUAGCGGAGCAUGUGGUUUAAUUCGAAGCAACGCGAAGAACCUUACCUACACUUGACAUCCCUUGCAUUACUCUUAAUCGAGGAAAUCCCUUCGGGGACAAGGUGACAGGUGGUGCAUGGUUGUCGUCAGCUCGUGUCGUGAGAUGUUGGGUUAAGUCCCGCAACGAGCGCAACCCUUGUCGUUAGUUACUACCAUUAAGUUGAGGACUCUAGCGAGACUGCCUGGGUUAACCAGGAGGAAGGUGGGGAUGACGUCAAAUCAUCAUGCCCCUUAUGUGUAGGGCUACACACGUGCUACAAUGGCUGGUACAGAGAGAUGCAAUACCGCGAGGUGGAGCCAAACUUAAAAACCAGUCUCAGUUCGGAUUGUAGGCUGAAACUCGCCUACAUGAAGCUGGAGUUACUAGUAAUCGCGAAUCAGAAUGUCGCGGUGAAUACGUUCCCGGGUCUUGUACACACCGCCCGUCACACCAUGAGAGUUGGCAAUACCCGAAGUCCGUGAGCUAACCGCAAGGAGGCAGCGGCCGAAGGUAGGGUCAGCGAUUGGGGUGAAGUCGUAACAAGGUAGCCGUAGGAGAACCUGCGGCUGGAUCACCUCCUUUCUAAGGA
This 667-nucleotide ribosomal RNA is filed under the name Clostridium perfringens. RNAcentral describes it as "bacterial SSU rRNA". It matches the Rfam family "Bacterial small subunit ribosomal RNA", at positions 871 to 1533 of the family's 1533-position model. Lineage: Bacteria; Bacillati; Bacillota; Clostridia; Eubacteriales; Clostridiaceae. The record is from RNAcentral.